CAAAACUAAAGCUAAGAGUAGAGUUGAUCUUUCUUUAAAUGAAAUACAAGAUAAAAAUAUGAUUUUCAUGAUUGAAGCAAUUUACUAAGAAAAUGAGAUAUCUAGUCCAAAGUCAGUUGUACCAACAAUUGAUCUUGAUGACCUCAAUGUUCUCGUUAAUAAGAGUCAUUAUAGAUGAAGAGGAAGAGUAUAAUUUGGCAUAACCUAUGGAGGAAGAAGAAGAGAAGGAGGAGUUCGAAGAUGGGC
RNAcentral lists this long non-coding RNA (246 nucleotides) under Elaeis guineensis (African oil palm). Its description in RNAcentral is "long non-coding RNA (EGUI_LNC025643)". Lineage: Eukaryota; Viridiplantae; Streptophyta; Magnoliopsida; Arecales; Arecaceae. The record is from RNAcentral.